AAGCGUCCCAUAACGGGAACAGGGUCACAGAAUCACAGAAUUAAUUAGGCUGUAAAAGACCUUUGAGAUCAUUGAGUCCAACCUCUGACUGAUCCACCACCACGGCAACUAGAUCAUGGCAUCAAGUGCCAUGUCCAGUUUUUCCUUAAACACCUCCAGGGACAGUGGCUCCACCACCUCCCUGGCCAGCCCAUUCCAGUAUCUAAUCAGCCUUUCUGUGAAGAAAUUCCUCCUCAUGUCCAACCCUCCACUGAACCAUCCACUGGAUCGGAGGGCAGUUCGACUGACUUGUUCAGGGUCACACACAAACACAAAGACCUGAUCGAGGGUCUCCACAUCUUUAACUGGUCUGCCAGCACCCCAGGGAAGAUCCAGGCACACACACAUGCCAACAACAUAAGAGAGACCCUCUCCCAGGCCUCCACAGCCAAGUGUGUCACUCCCUCCACUCCACUGCCAGUACUCUUGGAUGACUCACACCAACAGUUUAUGCAAUAAUGUUCUUUAUUAAUAUAAUAGAAAAUUGGGACAGGUUAAAGUUCAAAGAUUGCUGGUGAUAGUAUCUGUCUGGAAAAACAUAUCCAAAGCAUUCUAUAGAGAAGCUCUGAUAAUUAAAAAAGGCUGGCUUGAGAUAAUCAAUCACCCCACAUAGAGUCUGUUCCUUACCCAACAGGCCCCAUGGGGGAGAAGACAGGUUCAGCCUGUCAGUUGAUUCCAGAAGUUAGGAUGGAGUCUUCCCUAACUUUUCCCCAUUUUUAACUUGAUUUCAUGCUAUUUUUGCAUUCAGGUGGAGCCUGACUAACUCCAGUCACACAUCAUGUGCAGUGGGGGGUGGUCGUACCUUGGAGGUGGGUAACGUCUGUUACACCUCAGUAACCUUUGGGAUGGAGAGCCAAAACUGUGGGUCAUCCAAAGCCAGCGACUGCCACUUGCCAGUAGCAUUGCAGAGAAGAGAAACAGGAUGAGGAGAAAGAAGAAAAACAUUUUAGGUCUAGGCAGGCUGGAAAAAAAUGGCAGUUCCUGACCACCUGAAACCUAAUGAUGCCUCAAGUCACAGGAAUCAGUAAACAUUUUCCUGAUA
This is a long non-coding RNA of Neopelma chrysocephalum (saffron-crested tyrant-manakin), 1081 nucleotides long. RefSeq lists it as uncharacterized. The record is from RefSeq and is a predicted model, not a curated record. The transcript has 2 exons. Lineage: Eukaryota; Metazoa; Chordata; Aves; Passeriformes; Pipridae.